Molecule: long non-coding RNA, 5759 nt
Filed under: Brachypodium distachyon (stiff brome)
Lineage: Eukaryota; Viridiplantae; Streptophyta; Magnoliopsida; Poales; Poaceae
Description: long non-coding RNA (BDIS_LNC006019)
Source: RNAcentral
UGUUCGUUCACAUGGAAAUGGAAGUGCGCCGUGGCUGAGGUGGACCGGGCUUCUGAGCUGGGCCAGAAGGCUGGGCUCUGUUCCAAAUCACAAUGGACAACAUGCUAGAAUGGGCCGGAAAGUGCUCCUAUGGUUGGGCCGGAUUUUGAUGGGCCUCAAAUUAGCCCUCUCUAACAAAGGAAAGGGGAAUUCCCUAAAAAAAAAACGGGGCGGUCGUUUUUAUCCUGCGUGCCAGUCACUCGGUGGUCGGUGGCUUGGUGCAACUUUGAGACUAAUCCAUCCCUGUUUCCGUCGGGUAAGAGGAAGAAUAAUAGUGGGUUAUAAGUUGGUUAUAAGAAUUAAAAUAUUAUUUUAAUGUUUAGUUGGAGGAAAGAGAAGAUGAGAGAGAAGAGAGGUGAGCUGUUAACUAGUAGUCAGCUGCAACACGUGCUCCUAGGCACCCUGUGAGACUGUAAUGUGAGCCUGCUAUUAAUAAAGUAGUGUUUCUUAUAGCCAAAUUAUUAUACAUGGUAGCUAUUAUAUUACUUAAAGAUGACAUGGUAAUGCUUACAGCCAACAACAGGCUAUAGCUGUUAAUCUUGUUCUAAGGGCAUCUUCAAUAAGGGGUACUACACGGGUACCAAGAAGGUAGUAACCAAUGGGGAGGAAAUAUGAAUACCACAACUAAAUAGUGAUUUCUUAAAAAAAGUAAUAGUUACUACACGGAUAACAAGACAGAAAAGAGAAUAACAAGUGGGUCUAUCAAAAAACAAAAAAGUAAAAAAUAUUAAAAGUAGAGAAAAAAUUUAGUAUGGAGAUGCCCUAAGUAGCUCCUCCUGUCCCCGGGCCGGAAGCUAGCUGCCGGAUAAUUGAUGGCGCUUCACGUGGGGGAUCUACGUAGCUCUCGCCUCGUUUUGCUCGAUCUCCUCUCAUCCCAUAUGUUCAGGCUAAUAAUUCGAUCGACCCGGUCCGCGGUGGAACGCGACGUUAACGCGGGCAUCCAUGUGUCCGUGCCACAAGGCCGGCAAGUCGGCAACGAGCUAGCCAGCUAGCUAGCCAGGCUUGUGUGGAUCGAUCUAUCGAGCAAAGGGCGCCGGCCGGCCGUGUCGGCUGUCACCGCCAAACGUAUAGAUCGAUCUAGACGCCGCCCGCGUAUGCAUGUGCAGCUACUAGUUAGCUAGCUACGGAUCAGUCUACUGUCAUUAGCCUUUCACUUUCAAAAGAUAAAGAAAACCGUAGCAUAAUUAGCUAACUAACCACACUAAUUGGAUGGAGAAGAUUUCUGGUAUUGGUAGCUGGUACGAAGUCACACGUGCAAGCUAAUUAAGUCCAGCAGCAGUGACGCUACUCAAAUAAUAGUAUCGGUCGAGGUCGUGUGCAUGCACACAGUGUUGCAACUGUUGUUGGUGUCCAAGUGUAGCUACAGCUAUAUACACAGCUCUCCCGCUAGCUAGCUAGGAACUGCAGCUUGCAUGCUUAAUUAGACCCCGGCGUGUGAUUAUAUAUUGGUCUAGCGUACGUACGUUCGCCUUUGCGUGUUCUUUGCUCUAGCUAGCUUCGGCUCUCCUUUUCGUGUUUUCAUUACCUGGAUUAGUUGGAUUCGGUACCGUAUUCCGCAUGCACCGGCCGCUAGCACGAGGAGUACGUAGCUAGCUAGCGUGCUCGUGUGUCAGAAAACCGCCGUCGGCAAGCCACUUUUCGACAGACCAGUUUUAGUUGCUUUUCCGACAGCAUCGAUCGUGGAGAAAAGAUACAGGGGAAGAAUGGUCAAGGACUCAACGUAAUUGCAGGAUGACCAAGACCAGUCUAGCUAGCUAGCCCCUCUGGAUCGACUGAUCAAAGUGUUGAUGACAUCUCAUUCGAUCACCAACCCACGCCAAUAGACACGUUCACGCACUAUACAUAGAAACAAGGCCAACCCGUAUUAUAUACGCCUACACUUACUAGGCAUGCUCGCAAAUCUCGGCAUAGAUAUAUUCUAGAGACUUGUCAGUUUAAAUGUUUUUUGCUCAAAAUUAUAUUCGAAGACCUAGAGAAUAGCCUAAAAAGGGAACAUAUACGCACUCUUUUCCUCGAAAGAUUCCUGUGAGACUGUAAUGUGAGCCUGCUAUUAAUAAAGUAGUGUUUCUUAUAGCCAAAUUAUUAUACAUGGUAGCUAUUAUAUUACUUAAAGAUGACAUGGUAAUGCUUACAGCCAACAACAGGCUAUAGCUGUUAAUCUUGUUCUAAGGGCAUCUUCAAUAAGGGGUACUACACGGGUACCAAGAAGGUAGUAACCAAUGGGGAGGAAAUAUGAAUACCACAACUAAAUAGUGAUUUCUUAAAAAAAGUAAUAGUUACUACACGGAUAACAAGACAGAAAAGAGAAUAACAAGUGGGUCUAUCAAAAAACAAAAAAGUAAAAAAUAUUAAAAGUAGAGAAAAAAUUUAGUAUGGAGAUGCCCUAAGUAGCUCCUCCUGUCCCCGGGCCGGAAGCUAGCUGCCGGAUAAUUGAUGGCGCUUCACGUGGGGGAUCUACGUAGCUCUCGCCUCGUUUUGCUCGAUCUCCUCUCAUCCCAUAUGUUCAGGCUAAUAAUUCGAUCGACCCGGUCCGCGGUGGAACGCGACGUUAACGCGGGCAUCCAUGUGUCCGUGCCACAAGGCCGGCAAGUCGGCAACGAGCUAGCCAGCUAGCUAGCCAGGCUUGUGUGGAUCGAUCUAUCGAGCAAAGGGCGCCGGCCGGCCGUGUCGGCUGUCACCGCCAAACGUAUAGAUCGAUCUAGACGCCGCCCGCGUAUGCAUGUGCAGCUACUAGUUAGCUAGCUACGGAUCAGUCUACUGUCAUUAGCCUUUCACUUUCAAAAGAUAAAGAAAACCGUAGCAUAAUUAGCUAACUAACCACACUAAUUGGAUGGAGAAGAUUUCUGGUAUUGGUAGCUGGUACGAAGUCACACGUGCAAGCUAAUUAAGUCCAGCAGCAGUGACGCUACUCAAAUAAUAGUAUCGGUCGAGGUCGUGUGCAUGCACACAGUGUUGCAACUGUUGUUGGUGUCCAAGUGUAGCUACAGCUAUAUACACAGCUCUCCCGCUAGCUAGCUAGGAACUGCAGCUUGCAUGCUUAAUUAGACCCCGGCGUGUGAUUAUAUAUUGGUCUAGCGUACGUACGUUCGCCUUUGCGUGUUCUUUGCUCUAGCUAGCUUCGGCUCUCCUUUUCGUGUUUUCAUUACCUGGAUUAGUUGGAUUCGGUACCGUAUUCCGCAUGCACCGGCCGCUAGCACGAGGAGUACGUAGCUAGCUAGCGUGCUCGUGUGUCAGAAAACCGCCGUCGGCAAGCCACUUUUCGACAGACCAGUUUUAGUUGCUUUUCCGACAGCAUCGAUCGUGGAGAAAAGAUACAGGGGAAGAAUGGUCAAGGACUCAACGUAAUUGCAGGAUGACCAAGACCAGUCUAGCUAGCUAGCCCCUCUGGAUCGACUGAUCAAAGUGUUGAUGACAUCUCAUUCGAUCACCAACCCACGCCAAUAGACACGUUCACGCACUAUACAUAGAAACAAGGCCAACCCGUAUUAUAUACGCCUACACUUACUAGGCAUGCUCGCAAAUCUCGGCAUAGAUAUAUUCUAGAGACUUGUCAGUUUAAAUGUUUUUUGCUCAAAAUUAUAUUCGAAGACCUAGAGAAUAGCCUAAAAAGGGAACAUAUACGCACUCUUUUCCUCGAAAGAUUCCUGUGAGACUGUAAUGUGAGCCUGCUAUUAAUAAAGUAGUGUUUCUUAUAGCCAAAUUAUUAUACAUGGUAGCUAUUAUAUUACUUAAAGAUGACAUGGUAAUGCUUACAGCCAACAACAGGCUAUAGCUGUUAAUCUUGUUCUAAGGGCAUCUUCAAUAAGGGGUACUACACGGGUACCAAGAAGGUAGUAACCAAUGGGGAGGAAAUAUGAAUACCACAACUAAAUAGUGAUUUCUUAAAAAAAGUAAUAGUUACUACACGGAUAACAAGACAGAAAAGAGAAUAACAAGUGGGUCUAUCAAAAAACAAAAAAGUAAAAAAUAUUAAAAGUAGAGAAAAAAUUUAGUAUGGAGAUGCCCUAAGUAGCUCCUCCUGUCCCCGGGCCGGAAGCUAGCUGCCGGAUAAUUGAUGGCGCUUCACGUGGGGGAUCUACGUAGCUCUCGCCUCGUUUUGCUCGAUCUCCUCUCAUCCCAUAUGUUCAGGCUAAUAAUUCGAUCGACCCGGUCCGCGGUGGAACGCGACGUUAACGCGGGCAUCCAUGUGUCCGUGCCACAAGGCCGGCAAGUCGGCAACGAGCUAGCCAGCUAGCUAGCCAGGCUUGUGUGGAUCGAUCUAUCGAGCAAAGGGCGCCGGCCGGCCGUGUCGGCUGUCACCGCCAAACGUAUAGAUCGAUCUAGACGCCGCCCGCGUAUGCAUGUGCAGCUACUAGUUAGCUAGCUACGGAUCAGUCUACUGUCAUUAGCCUUUCACUUUCAAAAGAUAAAGAAAACCGUAGCAUAAUUAGCUAACUAACCACACUAAUUGGAUGGAGAAGAUUUCUGGUAUUGGUAGCUGGUACGAAGUCACACGUGCAAGCUAAUUAAGUCCAGCAGCAGUGACGCUACUCAAAUAAUAGUAUCGGUCGAGGUCGUGUGCAUGCACACAGUGUUGCAACUGUUGUUGGUGUCCAAGUGUAGCUACAGCUAUAUACACAGCUCUCCCGCUAGCUAGCUAGGAACUGCAGCUUGCAUGCUUAAUUAGACCCCGGCGUGUGAUUAUAUAUUGGUCUAGCGUACGUACGUUCGCCUUUGCGUGUUCUUUGCUCUAGCUAGCUUCGGCUCUCCUUUUCGUGUUUUCAUUACCUGGAUUAGUUGGAUUCGGUACCGUAUUCCGCAUGCACCGGCCGCUAGCACGAGGAGUACGUAGCUAGCUAGCGUGCUCGUGUGUCAGAAAACCGCCGUCGGCAAGCCACUUUUCGACAGACCAGUUUUAGUUGCUUUUCCGACAGCAUCGAUCGUGGAGAAAAGAUACAGGGGAAGAAUGGUCAAGGACUCAACGUAAUUGCAGGAUGACCAAGACCAGUCUAGCUAGCUAGCCCCUCUGGAUCGACUGAUCAAAGUGUUGAUGACAUCUCAUUCGAUCACCAACCCACGCCAAUAGACACGUUCACGCACUAUACAUAGAAACAAGGCCAACCCGUAUUAUAUACGCCUACACUUACUAGGCAUGCUCGCAAAUCUCGGCAUAGAUAUAUUCUAGAGACUUGUCAGUUUAAAUGUUUUUUGCUCAAAAUUAUAUUCGAAGACCUAGAGAAUAGCCUAAAAAGGGAACAUAUACGCACUCUUUUCCUCGAAAGAUUCCUGUGAGACUGUAAUGUGAGCCUGCUAUUAAUAAAGUAGUGUUUCUUAUAGCCAAAUUAUUAUACAUGGUAGCUAUUAUAUUACUUAAAGAUGACAUGGUAAUGCUUACAGCCAACAACAGGCUAUAGCUGUUAAUCUUGUUCUAAGGGCAUCUUCAAUAAGGGGUACUACACGGGUACCAAGAAGGUAGUAACCAAUGGGGAGGAAAUAUGAAUACCACAACUAAAUAGUGAUUUCUUAAAAAAAGUAAUAGUUACUACACGGAUAACAAGACAGAAAAGAGAAUAACAAGUGGGUCUAUCAAAAAACAAAAAAGUAAAAAAUAUUAAAAGUAGAGAAAAAAUUUAGUAUGGAGAUGCCCUAAGUAGCUCCUCCUGUCCCCGGGCCGGAAGCUAGCUGCCGGAUAAUUGAUGGCGCUUCACGUGGGGGAUCUACGUAGCUCUCGCCUCGUUUUG